RNAcentral lists this ribosomal RNA (468 nucleotides) under uncultured bacterium. Its description in RNAcentral is "partial 16S ribosomal RNA". It matches the Rfam family "Bacterial small subunit ribosomal RNA", at positions 28 to 507 of the family's 1533-position model. The record is from RNAcentral.
GACGAACGCUGGCGGCGUGCUUAACACAUGCAAGUCGAACGGAAAGGCCCUGCUUUUGUGGGUUUCUCGAUUGCCGAAGGGGGGAGUAACACGUGAGUAACCUCCCCUUGACUUUGGGAUAACUCCAGGAAACUGGGGCUAUUACCGGAUAGGAUCUCCUGCUGCAUGGUGGGGGUUGGAAAGUUUCGGCGGUUGGGGAUGGACUCGCGGCUUAUCAGCUUGUUGGUGGGGUAGUGGCUUACCAAGGCUUUGACGGGUAGCCGGCCUGAGAGGGUGACCGGCCACAUUGGGACUGAGAUACGGCCCAGACUCCUACGGGAGGCAGCAGUGGGGAAUAUUGCACAAUGGGCGGAAGCCUGAUGCAGCAACGCCGCGUGCGGGAUGACGGCCUUCGGGUUGUAAACCGCUUUCGCCUGUGACGAAGCGUGAGUGACGGUAAUGGGUAAAGAAGCACCGGCUAACUACGUG